This is a non-coding RNA of Anolis sagrei ordinatus, 3041 nucleotides long. The record is from RefSeq and is a predicted model, not a curated record. Lineage: Eukaryota; Metazoa; Chordata; Lepidosauria; Squamata; Anolidae.
UUAACCUGCAUCUUCUCCCAUAGUGAGGGCAUUGGUUUCCAGGUGGAAGGCGGUCUUGGUCGGGGUUGGCUUGACACACCUUCCUCUUGGCACGUUUCUCUCUUUCACCCUCCAUUCGUGCCUCUUCAAAUUCUGCAGCACUGCUGGUCACAGCUGACCUCCAGCUGGAGCACUGAAGGGCCAGGGCUUCCCAGUUCCAUUAGAUACAAUGGAGUAAUAAGAUGGUAUCCCUUAUGUAAAAUGGCAAAAUCAAGAUUUGCCUUUAAGACUUUUUCAAAAAUAUUUCCAAGCCAGAAAUAGUGACUGGUGGGAUCCAUGGAUGUAGAAUCUGUAGAUACAGAAGGCCAUUUACACUAAGUACACAAGGAGUAUGAUUUUGCACAAGAUAAAACUAUAAGGAAGAGAACUGGAAACUUUUUCCAGAAGAGUUGUAAUAAUUUGACUGACAAACUCUUCUGUAGGAAAGAAAGUACACAUCCCACGUGAAAAUACCCCAUCUAUGGAUGAUCUGAUCCUGCUUCACACAAAUCUAUUUGGAUUGUCAGCUUCCUGCUUAGAAAAUCCGAAACAAAGAGAAUACUGGCAUAAAUAGAUACAGGAAGGUAGCCUCAGUGGCUAAAAGAAACAUAUUGUCACUAGAUGUCCCAUUAGUGUUGCUUGGCAAAAUUUCGCAGAAGCCAACAAAACUGAGCAGCAACUGGGAUGGCUCUCUAUGGUACAGGAGAACGGAGGAGCAUUUUGAUGGUUGCAGUCAAUUCUGUUGCAGCAGGGGCUGAGGACAUAGUGAGGGCUGCAAACAGAUGAGUGGCAUCCAUUAGCUGAAUUCUCAUUCCUCCCUCUGUUUCCUCAUGAGAUGUGUGGGGCAGCGGAAAUGGCUGCUGUUCAAGACAUGGGGCAGAUCUACACUGACCACUUAACAUGGAUUGAAAGCAUCUAAAACACAGCAUCUAAAUGAUACAUGGUGCAAAUGCAUGCAGGUCUUAAACUGGGAUAAGCAAAAUUGGGGGGGGGGGUACUCUGAAGUAGGGCCUGUAAUGCAUGUCAGUAAAAACCACAUUGCGUGGCAAGACUAAUUAAAGGACAGGAGCUCCAAAAAUCUGUGCAUCGAAGUGAAGGAACUGGAGGGGGAAAACCCAUAUCCACCAGAAAUCCUGGAACUAGAUCAGAGCCAACCUCUGAUGGCUAUAAGCACCAACCAGGCCUUCACCCAGUUUCUAUACUUUAUAUGUAAUCAGGUGCAUGUUUGCUUUGUUUCAGCCUCUGCCGUUUCCAUCCCACAGUACCGGGUCAGUUGAGAACCACUGGUGUAGAUGUAUGUGCUCAUGGACCAUAACCUGUGAGAGUCUAAAGUCAGUGUCUGCAGCCCUUUCAAGACAGCAAAGAGGCUGAUACCAAAGGGCUUUGAAAAUUUAUGAAGUGGAAUUAAUCAGGUCCAGGCUUUUUUAUUUACUUUGCCCACAUCCCUGUGUGCUUUGGUUACACUCUGGCCCAAUGAAGAUUUCUGUGGCACUUAAACCUUAUGCAGUAUUUGGUGGCCUUCCAAUUGGCCUAUUAAAUGUACUACACUAGUGUGAGAUUUAGAGCCUUUUCUUCAAAAACUUGGCCAAGAGAUUGGGGGGUGGGGGGGGCAUAUUUCCACACCAUGGAUUUUCCCCUUUGGCAAUAAGCUUUCCAAUCAAUUUUUAAGAAUCCAUUAUUAAAAAUUAAUAAGAUUUGCCACUAUUUUUUCUGGUAGGGCACCUUAUUCUUUUUGUGACUGUAUAUUGGAUAAAUAUCUAAAAAGAAAUCUAGUUGUUAUUUCCCCUUCUCCAUUGCUGCAGUUCCAUGCUAGUAGAAGCCUUUCCUCCUACCUGUUUGCCUGGCACACAGUUGUUAAGGACAUAGAAGCCCUGCCAUUAACUUGGCUCUGUUUGCAAGCAAACAUUAUUUACAUGCUUAGGGAAAUUCUAGUAGCAUGAAAUGGAAACUUGUUCAUCGAUCUACAGAGCUGGUUGGUCCCAUUGUUUCAAACCACCUCAGCGUUGUUUUUGUUUUAAUUAUUAUUCUUUAUUUCCACUCAUGACUUUCUCUCUCAAGCACAUUUGUUACCUCAUAACUAAGAGAGACGGAGAGAAAAUAUAUUUAUUUUGAAACAAUGCCAAAUGCUGUAAUUUAAAAAAAUUAGGAAUUAGAAAAUGCUGUUUCAAUUAUACUGAGUAUGCUGUGAAGCUUAUUUAUGUACAUUUGGGUUCUCUACCCUGUUUAGGAAUUAGAAAAUGCUGUUCAGCUCAGAUUCAGUACAGCUGUAAAGCUAAUGUACAUUUGGAUUCUUUUGUCACUGACAGCAGCUGGUUUCUUGCAAACAUACAUCACAAUGGUUAAAUGAAUUUAUCACCUGCUGUGCUUCUGCAUAGGUGCUAAGUGACUGGAAAUUAGGUCCUUAUGGGCCCCCAGUUGAGCAAUACACAAAAUGCGGAAUGUGCCACUCUCCCAAGUGGAGCAACUUAAGAUACUACAGGAACAUUGAAGCAGUGUUCUUCAUCCAGCAGAAUGAAGAAGAAAGGAAAUGGGUCAAUAAUAAACAAAGCUUGGACUUCUGCUUCUUCUUUUUUAAAAAAAUGGAAUAAUUCUGAAAGAUGUUGCUCAUUUUCUAGAACAUAUGUGGGAGCUGGCCAUUUCACUUACAGUAAGGCUUUCAAACUACUUUCUCUUAACUCAAAUAAGUAAGUGGAAAGUGGGAUGCCAAAGCAAUGCUGUGGCCUUACUGCUCACAGCUACUUACAGUUAACCAUCUUAGAGCCUUUACUUGGUUCAAGAAGCAGACCUGACCCAGCCUUUUCAUCAAUAAAUUAUCGGAUCAAAGGAGAAAGCUUGGAGAAAGAGAAUACCUAAAAAUAUGAAACUAAAAGCUCUCUAUAUGUCCCUCUCUUGAGAUCGUAUGCUUUCUAGUCCCAGAUAUUGCCCUGUUAGCAUUUGAAGAAAUCUUAACAGAUGUUGUAACAUGCCAGUCACAUUUCGGACUUUUUCUUCACAACACGCCAAUUAAAGUAUUCUCUAGCAGA